Long non-coding RNA from Oncorhynchus kisutch (coho salmon), 1515 nucleotides. The record is from Ensembl. NCBI's taxonomy places the organism in Eukaryota, Metazoa, Chordata, Actinopteri, Salmoniformes, Salmonidae.
AUGCGCACACACACACACACACCCAUGCACACACACACACACACACCCAUGCACACACACACACCCAUGCACACACACACACACACACACCCAUACACACACACACACACACCCAUGCACACACACACACACACACACCCAUGCACACACACACACACACCCAUGCACACACACACACACACACACCCAUGCACACACACACACACACACACACACCCAUGCACACACACACACACACCCAUGCACACACACACACACCCAUGCGCACACACACACACCCAUGCGCACACACACACCCAUGCGCACACACACACACCCAUGCGCACACACACACCCACACACCCACGCGCACACACACACACACCCACACCCAUGCGCACACACACACACACACCCAUGCGCGCACACACACACACACCCAUGCACACACACACACACACACCCAUGCACACACACACACACCCAUGCACACACACACACACCCAUGCACACACACACACACCCAUGCACACACACACACACACACACCCAUGCACACACACACACACACCCAUGCACACACACACACACACACACCCAUGCACACACCCAUGCACACACACACACACACACCCAUGCACACACACACACACACACACACACCCAUGCACACACACACACACACCCAUGCACACACACACACACCCAUGCGCACACACACACACCCAUGCGCACACACACACCCAUGCGCACACACACACACCCAUGCGCACACACACCCACACACCCACGCGCACACACACACACACCCACACCCAUGCGCACACACACACACACACCCAUGCGCGCACACACACACACCCAUGCACACACACGCACACGCACACACCCAUGCACACACACGCACACACCCAUGCACACACACGCACACACCCAUGCACACACACACACACACCCAUGCACACACACACACACACACACACCACACACACCCAUGCACACACACACACACACCCAUGCACACACACACACACCCAUGCGCACACACACACCCAUGCGCACACACACACCCACACACCCAUGCGCACACACACACCCACACACCCACGCGCACACACACACACCCACACCCAUGCGCGCACACACACACACACCCAUGCGCGCACACACACCCAUGCACACACCCAUGCACACACACGCACACGCACACACCCAUGCACACACCCAUGCACACGCACACACCCAUGCACACACACACACCCAUGCACACGCACACACCCAUGCACACACACACACACACACACACACACACACACACACACACCCAUGCACACACACACACACACACACACACCCAUGCACACACACACACACACCCAUGCACACACACACACACCACCUUGCGCGCACACACACACACCCCCAUGCACACACACACACAUGCACACAGACACACUCAUGGCUUCAUGUUUGUUUCUCAGGGCUCACCAAAUAGAUUUUUACUUAUUUAUUUCUUUACCUUUUUUAUUUUACUAG